CCUACGGGUGGCAGCAGUGGGGAAUCUUCCGCAAUGGGCGAAAGCCUGACGGAGCAACGCCGCGUGAUCGAAUGAAGGCCUUCGGGUUGUAAAGAUCUGUUGACAGGGACGAAUAAGCCAUGCGAAUAGUUUGGUGUAUGACGGUACCUGUUUAGAAAGCCCCGGCUAACUACGUGCCAGCAGCCGCGGUAAUACGUAGGGGGCAAGCGUUAUCCGGAAUUACUGGGUGUAAAGGGUGAGUAGGCGGCAUGGUAAGCCAGAUGUGAAAGCCUUGGGCUUAACCCGAGGAUUGCAUUUGGAACUAUCAAGCUAGAGUACAGGAGAGGAAAGCGGAAUUCCUAGUGUAGCGGUGAAAUGCGUAGAUAUUAGGAAGAACACCAGUGGCGAAGGCGGCUUUCUGGACUGAAACUGACGCUGAGGCACGAAAGCGUGGGGAGCGAACAGGAUUAGAUACCCUGGUAGUC
Molecule: ribosomal RNA, 464 nt
Filed under: uncultured bacterium
Lineage: Bacteria
Description: partial 16S ribosomal RNA
Rfam family: Bacterial small subunit ribosomal RNA
Source: RNAcentral